RNAcentral lists this ribosomal RNA (405 nucleotides) under uncultured bacterium. Its description in RNAcentral is "bacterial SSU rRNA". It matches the Rfam family "Bacterial small subunit ribosomal RNA", at positions 370 to 772 of the family's 1533-position model. The record is from RNAcentral.
AAUGGACGCAAGUCUGACCCAGCCAUGCCGCGUGAAGGAUGACGGCCCUAUGGGUUGUAAACUUCUUUUGUACGGGAAAAAACCUUCGAACGUGUUCGAAGCUGAUGGUACCGUAAGAAUAAGCAUCGGCUAACUCCGUGCCAGCAGCCGCGGUAAUACGGAGGAUGCAANCGUUAUCCGGAUUCAUUGGGUUUAAAGGGUGCGUAGGCGGGAUAAUAAGUCAGUGGUGAAAGCCUACAGCUUAACUGUAGAACUGCCAUUGAUACUGUUAACCUUGAGUACAAUUGAAGUGGGCGGAAUGUGUCAUGUAGCGGUGAAAUGCUUAGAUAUGACACAGAACACCGAUAGCGAAGGCAGCUCACUAAGCUGUAACUGACGCUGAGGCACGAAAGCGUGGGGAUCAAA